Molecule: ribosomal RNA, 390 nt
Filed under: Triticum aestivum (bread wheat)
Lineage: Eukaryota; Viridiplantae; Streptophyta; Magnoliopsida; Poales; Poaceae
Description: partial small subunit ribosomal RNA
Source: RNAcentral
AUGCUCAUCGAGGAGGCGGACGUUGUAGGCUUGGUCGCCCUGCGCCUGCCGAAACGUGGUCUCCCGCUCCUCCGACGCCAUGUCGGCGUAGUGGACACGGGCCUCGCCAAGGUGAUGCCAGCAUUGGCCGGCGAGGAUGUUGGUGCCGGCUCGGCGGCGGCCGCCUUUGUCAUUGGCGCGUGCUCAGCGUCGGCCUCCGAUGAGCUCGUCCGCCUUGUGGCAUGCCAUUCGGCAGCAAUGGCUGCGAGCUCCUUCUUUUGGUCGGAGGAGAGGCCCUCCCACAAAGCUUUGGAGUUUGAGGAGGCCAUGGUGGGUGUUCUGCGGAGAGGAGAUAGAGAGGGGAGGAGGGUGGAUGGAUGCAGCUACGUUGCCGGCCUGCGAUUUAAAUAG